This 276-nucleotide long non-coding RNA is filed under the name Prunus dulcis (almond). RNAcentral's name for it is "sRNA ncRNA". Lineage: Eukaryota; Viridiplantae; Streptophyta; Magnoliopsida; Rosales; Rosaceae. The record is from RNAcentral.
CUCUUUCCCAGCACAACCUAUCAACCCAAACCCUUAGUCCACCCCUAAAAACAUGGCGUCCAUCAACGAUGGGUCUGUAUCUGGCGAAAAUUAAUAUAUGAAUGUGGGAGCUUGAUGUUCCUGGACUUGUCUGGAAAUUUCUUUGCUGGACAAAUACCAAAACAUGUAUUUACCAAUCUAGGCCAACUUGAAUAUUUCAGUCUCUUCAUUAACCAUUUCCAAGGACCACUGCCAUAAAACUAUCCCAAUCUUAAAUGCCUCCAUUUAGCAGUGAAC